UGGGGAAUCUUGGACAAUGGGGGCAACCCUGAUCCAGCCAUGCCGCGUGAGUGAUGAAGGCCUUAGGGUCGUAAAGCUCUUUCGCCUGUGAAGAUAAUGACGGUAGCAGGUAAAGAAACCCCGGCUAACUCCGUGCCAGCAGCCGCGGUAAUACGGAGGGGGUUAGCGUUGUUCGGAAUUACUGGGCGUAAAGCGCACGUAGGCGGACCAGAAAGUUGGGGGUGAAAUCCCGGGGGCUCAACCCCGGAACUGCCUCCAAAACUAUUGGUCUAGAGUUCGAGAGAGGUGAGUGGAAUUCCAAGUGUAGAGGUGAAAUUCGUAGAUAUUUGGAGGAACACCAGUGGCGAAGGCGGCUCACUGGCUCGAUACUGACGCUGAGGUGCGAAAGUGUGGGGAGCAAACAGGAUUAGAUACCCUGGUAGUCCACACCGUAAAACGAUGAAUGCCAGUCGUCGGGUAGCAUGCUAUUCGGUGACACACCUAACGGAUUAAGCAUUCCGG
This 501-nucleotide ribosomal RNA is filed under the name uncultured bacterium. Its description in RNAcentral is "bacterial SSU rRNA". It matches the Rfam family "Bacterial small subunit ribosomal RNA", at positions 355 to 872 of the family's 1533-position model. The record is from RNAcentral.